This 155-nucleotide small RNA is filed under the name Arabidopsis thaliana (thale cress). RNAcentral describes it as "ATSL093750". The record is from RNAcentral. Lineage: Eukaryota; Viridiplantae; Streptophyta; Magnoliopsida; Brassicales; Brassicaceae.
AGUUUACAUGAUUUAGGCAUUCAUUCUUCAUCACUUUCACAUUGUUUCACCCGCAUUUCAUCUAAUUAAUAGCCGUUUUAAUAUGUUUUGCAUACUUAGGACGAUUUUGCAUUAGGAUUGCAUGUGCAUUGCAUAUUGGGUCGUUUUUAGGUGCU